CGCGUUUCGCGAAUCAUUUGGUUCAGAUCGGGACUCCGAAGCGCGUUUCGCGAAUCAUUUGGUUCAGAUCGGGACUCCGAAUCGCGUUUCGAGAAUCAUUUGGUUCAGAUCGAGACUCCGAAUCGCGUUUCGCGAAUCAUUUGAUCGGGGCUUCGGAGCGGAUUUGCAAAACAUUUGAUUCUAUCAUGUACUUUUCUAGAUUAACUUUUAAUAAAGAGAAAAGAGGUUUAGAGACAGAUUUUUGUUAAUAGUCAGUUAGUAAUCCCACAGUCCAUAGCAUCAGUAACUGUAUAAUUAAGUAAGGGAAAAUUAAAACAAAAUAGGAUGAGUUUCAAUUUUUAUUUUAUUUUUGUAGCAAUGGUCAUCUUAACCUCUGUGCAGUGUUCAGGGUAUUUCAGGACCCCAAUUUAAAUUAUAAUUCUGCAUCAUACAAGUGUUUAUUUGAGUUGAAUAUUUCUAUAUUCAUGUAAGGAAACGAAGCCAUAAUUUGAUAAGUUUACAUUUACAUGUAUUCAUUUAGCAGAUGCUUUUAUCCAAAGCGACUUACAGAUGAGGAUAAAAAACAACACAACAAAAAGAGCAACAGAUAUUGUCUGAUAUGUUAAGAAAUAAUAUAAAAUAAAAAUGCUAAAAAAUGUUGCCAAAAAUAACUUUUUACGUAUUUAAAAAAAAAUUCUAAUGUUAUUUGCUUGAACAGCUGGUUAAUGAAUUCCAGCCUUGUGGGUUUUUGAAUGUGUGUACUUUUACAUGUCUACAUAUGUCACAAAUUGGAGUGCUUUGUUUUCAUACUAAAAGGAAGAGUUCUACAAAAUGUACAGACUGGAAACUUAUGUGCAGUGUGGAGACAUAUUAAAAAACUGUAUUCCAGGAUAUGUAGGUCGAUGAAGAAGAGGGGGACUCGACACCCACCCAGGCUUCUGCAGCGAGUUCUGCCAAAUCUGUGCUGACCUUCUUUGAGUGUUGUGUGCAUGUAGUGCAAUAGAUGCAAACUCCUCACCUUUCAGUGACAACUCACUUUUUUGAGGUUGAAAUGCGUCACCUAUGAGAUUUGCAUGGAUCCAAUGAGAGUGGAUCUUACAAGGAUACUUGUGAUCUAACGUGGGUAAAUAAAACAUGUUCCUAAAAAAGACAAAGUGCCACAAAACACACCGCAGGAGUCUCAAUAUACAUUUUACAAUUUAUUUAACUUGACAUGUCAUCUUAAUUUCACAAUAAAUACUGUUUCAAAGCAGAUUUACCAAGAACAAUGCAUAAUGCACUAUUAAAUAAACAAAUGCAACAUAUAAACAUUUUUAAAACAACAUGUAAAUAGAAAACUGUACAAAUAUACAUAUUUACACGCACACAGUCUAAUGCUGAAUGCAGAUACAGUUAACAAACAGAGACAGGCUCCAGCUCAAAUGUUCAUAAACACUGAAAACAGUGUGAGCUGCUAGACUUUGCUCAGAUCUGACAGAUUCACCAGAAAAUCCUGAACUGUGUGAUGAACACAUGAUUUCUUUAGUUUCAGACUUUGAUUUCAUCCAGUCUGAGAGUUUCACACACGUCUGAUAUUUGGAGUCAGUUCUUGAACACAUAUUGUUUCUAACCGUUUCUGCAGAUGUGAAGUGUGUGCUGUUUCUGUUGAAGUGUUGGUGAGUUCAGUGUCCAGCAGUGAGGUCACUAAUGUCCUGCACACCUCUCCAGUUUAAUCAGAGUCUGUGGGGCCCUCAGCAGACAUCAUUAUUGGCCCUCAGUGCUUCUGGAGAGACAGCGCAGGUAUAACCUCUGAGCAGACGCUUGUGUAACGUGACAGCAGUCAGAAUCAGAGCCAGCAGAAGCACAACCACAGUCAGUGCAAUCCAAGAGACGACAGCUGAAGAGAGAAGUAGAGACAGAGCACUUCUUUUAGUUUGACAUUCACUCUUUAACAGAUUUGUGAAGCUCUCGAUGCCUCCUGUUUCACUCACCGUCACAUUUAGUGUCAUCAGUGUGCUCCAGUGUUUCCUUUGAUUCUGUACAGAAUAUUGAAAGCUUAGUCUCACAGUUUAGUCUGAAUUUGCUGUUUAAAGAUAAUAUUUCUACACAUCACUGAGCUUCUCUCACCUCUGACUGUGACUGUGAUCAAGGUUUCUCCUUCAGUGUCCAGAACUCUGUAUGUUCCUGCAUCACUGUCCAGAAAUGAUUUAAUGAUCAGGUUUCCAUCAUUAUCAUCAUUCAUUCGGUCGCUCUGAACCCCGUGAUCUCUCGUCCAAACCUCCUUCCACUCUCCACUAGAGUUUGUCUUCACUUUAUCAGCAUCAGACACCAGAACAGACAUCUUUAGCUCCUCGCCUGUUUUCACAGAAAUCUCAUCUGAGGAGAAACAGAAAGACAUUAAUCAUUAUUAUAAUGCUGUCAAUCAAUCAAGACCAUAAACACAGAUU
This is a long non-coding RNA of Carassius auratus (goldfish), 2405 nucleotides long. The record is from Ensembl. NCBI's taxonomy places the organism in Eukaryota, Metazoa, Chordata, Actinopteri, Cypriniformes, Cyprinidae.